UGUACUGCACCUGUAAAUAAAGGCACUGUUGCUGUCGAUGGAGCAGGAUUUGGAAUUGAUCGUCCAGCAGAACUAAGCAAAAGUGAUGAUGAAUAUGAAGCCUUCAGAAAGAGAAUGAUGCUGGCUUAUAGGUUCAGACCUAAUCCACUGAACAAUCCAAGACGACCAUACUACUGAACUGAUGGCAGUAAAAGAAUUUUAAUCAUUCAGAUUUUUAAAGAACUCUUUCAUAGUUGUGGUAUUAGUUUACACCUCCUCUGUGGUGGUAAGAUUUUAUAUUGCAAACCACACACAAAAAUAUUUAAUGAACCACAAAGAGCUGCUUGGUGGGGUUGGGUCUAAACUAAACAGCAGAGUGCAGCUCGACACCUUUUGGAGAAUUGCUGUGGAUGGCCAGUAUAAAAAUGAGACAUUUUUAAAUUUUUAUUUGAGUCUGAUUUGAAAUGUGUCCGUUUACUAUGUGAAAACAGCGUUCUGUGUAUUGCAGUUCAGUACCACAAAGCCUUCUGUGUAAUACUGAACUGCAGUAAGUGAUGGCAGAUGAAACAAAUUUGGAAUUUUUUUUUUAAGUUUGCAGUGUAAUUUUGGUCCGUUCUGUUCCAGUAAAAUGAGAUUUUCCAGUUUAUGAAAAAUGAUGUCCGUAGAAGAGGAUGGUUUCAAUGAUUUAGACUCCUUGCAUUCUAAAGAUUCUUGUGUCAGGUGUUGGGCAUUGCUCAGAAGAGAAGCUUACCCACUGAAGCUACAAUGGAAGUUGUCUGGAUCAGUCCUCUUUAAAAGCACUGAGAAAAUCUCCAGUCUAUAUGUUGACUUGUCGUUCAUUUUUCAAAGUUUUUGAAGUAAACCUUAGUACUCCACAUUCCAUGAAAACUAAAUUAUGUAUUGGUAUUCUGCGCCUUUUGAGCAGAGGUAGUGUUUUUUUUUUUCUUCCCCGUAUGCAGUGGAUCCAGGGUGAAACCUCUGUCUUUUGUUAACUACCAUAUGCAUUGUAGUCAUCAGUGACUCUUCCUGUUUCUUUUAGGUCACACACACUACUGGCUUCUGCAUAAAUAAAACCUGUAUUGCUCUGUAA
This is a long non-coding RNA of Protopterus annectens (West African lungfish), 1069 nucleotides long. RefSeq lists it as uncharacterized. The transcript has 5 exons. The record is from RefSeq and is a predicted model, not a curated record. NCBI's taxonomy places the organism in Eukaryota, Metazoa, Chordata, Ceratodontiformes, Protopteridae.